This is a non-coding RNA of Pogona vitticeps (central bearded dragon), 1049 nucleotides long. The record is from RefSeq and is a predicted model, not a curated record. Lineage: Eukaryota; Metazoa; Chordata; Lepidosauria; Squamata; Agamidae.
AAGUGGCUGAAAGUGAUACUUUAAAACGAAAUCUUGGUCUUGUAAAAAGCUAGUUCCGAUUCCUUUGAUGUUUGUUGCUAAUGAAAGUGUGAUACAUACUUUCUUUUUAAAAAAACAAACGGUUUUGCAGAGAAGCUCCGGAGGGAUCGGCAUGAGUUCAUUGCUGCCAAAACGAAUUAAACACCUAAUCCUCACGAUUUGGUUGCAGGGGAAACUCUUCAAACCAAUACCGCAGUUCUAGAGUAAAAUUAAGGACGCUGAAACGGUUGCGAAAUCUCUUGGGGACAGUAGAGAUCGCGCUAACCCCGACGGCCAUGUUACUGUAGCUCUUUCCGGAGAGAAAUUGUCAGUCAACCAUUUGGUCACCAAAGCUAUUUUGCACGGGAUGCUAAUAAUACGACCUGUUUAAUUUAUCUGUUUAAGAAAAUGUGACAUGGCUCGUCCCUAAAAGACACGGAGAGGGUAGAACCGAAGGGGGAAGUUGGGGAGGAGCUCCACCAGAUGACUUCAGGCACCCGAGGAAGUGCUCUUCAUUCUGCCCGGAGAAGCCAUGGCGCGCAGCGAGAGCCGGCACCGGUGGUUUGCGGCCCGUGUGGCUGUUUUCUUCCUCUCUGCAGGUUCUAUCAAGCCAUGCUGUGCAGGAACAGAAGAAUGUAGCCACACAUUCCAUAUGAGUGUACCUCAAGGGAGCAGUGAAUCAGUGAUUCUCCCAAUUAAUACAACUGGGAAGAUUUUGUUACUUCACGGUGACUUCCAAGAACGUAAGGGAAAAAGGUUUAGGAUUGGUCUUCCAAAUCAUCUUAACAAACAUGACAACAAGACAGAGGUUUCUCUGGACAACCAAAAUUUCACCUUGCAGGAUGCGAAAAAAGCAGAUGAAGGCCUGUAUCGAAUCAGGGAGUACUUUACCCAAAGAUGCUUGGCUCAAGUUAAUGUAACUGUUUCUGGUAAGUCCUGAAAAAAGACCUCUCUAAGGAAAACUCCUCUGGUGUCUUCAGGGUAUGUCUGGCUGGAAAGGCUGUGGGCAUGUGUGUUUUCCUCUGAAAAGU